AAAAUAAGUGGGCCCGCGUCUCCCCUGUGACCCCCGCCUCCUCUCCUGUCGCCGCCGCCGCGCCCUCCCCACCCGUACGCGACCCACCCUCCUCCUCGACCUCCCUCCUAGCCGCCGCUGCCUCUCCUUCUCUUCCUCCUCUCUCUCCUGCUCCGCCGUCCUCCCCCAUCCACCCAUGCCGCACUCCUAUCCUGUAUCCCGCUGGAUCCAAGGCUUCUUCGACGGCGAUGAUGACCUAUAGGCGAAGGGCGACGACGCAGAGGAGAGGGAGGUGCAGCAGCAUACGGGAGAGGGUCACCAGCCAGCGUCGGCCUGUGCUGGUGAGGUCGGGCUCCACCAUUCCUGUCCGCCGUCCUUACGCGUCACCGGUGCUGCAGUUGCGUGGGGCGUGAGGAAAGCAAGGAGAGGGAGGGGAUGAGUGGGAGGCGCGAGGACGGAGGCGCUCCGGCGGCCGGGCUCGCCAGCCAUGCGGUGCUGGUCGUGGAGGACUCCAGAUCCCCUUUUGCUCGCUGCCACCACGGCCUUGCUCGCCAUCGACCUCCCCAGGCGAUUCUCUCCCCAAAUUGUGCCUACAUGGCCAAAUUGAUUCAAGCCCCAGGUGAAGACACCUCCCUCACUGUCCAAGCGUGCUUCUCUACAUGGGCGACGUCACCACGACCAGUUUGCUGAUUCAAGCCAAGGGUUGCAUUAGAUCUUCACGAAUCAUAUCUAUUAUUUUGAGGAGCACUCAAACAAUUGUAUUGCAAAACAGUAUGCCUUUGUUUGACGUGCAGAUCUGGAUUGUAGAAUUGCAUGCUUGAGUUGAGGCUUGUGAUUGGCCUUUGUGAUGCGCAGGUGUAUUCACCUCAUCAUACCAUCCGUUCUAAUCAAGGCCACAGUCACUGCCCGGUAGGAGAUGUCGGGGUUGUUAUUGACUGGGAGGAGACAAGGAGCAGGAGGCAGCAGGAGAGGUAGUAAGCACCUUAACAAUGACAACCGUCACCCGGCUUAUUUGGUUAUCCUUCAUAUGCCGCAUAGGCUUGUUUGUGGGAAUUGACAUGCAUUGCUGUUCCAUUUUACUGAUUUAUUUGAUAAAUACAUGACCAUACGGGUAACCUCUUGUUUGUUUUAGCACUAUCGGACAACACAUUCCUAUUUAACAGGGAAUUGCUUAUCUAUGAUUCAGGCUAGAACAAUUGUUUUCUACUAACGACCGAAGUUCUACUGUAUGCUUCAGAUUUGCGUAGCGCAUACUGCUCUCUGAACAAGGUGUUGAUGUCUUCACAAAAAUUGCUCAAAAUCAACUAUGUGUUGUGGAGAAUGAUAUAUACAUUUAUAGAGUAUGUCCUGCUCGAGAACGGCGGCAAUGGAUGCCAGUGCUCCUCUUCAUCUUUCCCGACCUGCAAGGACGUAAGCAUCCAGUACGGGACUGCACCAGCACCGGUGGCGGUGUCCAGGGCGCCAGCUCGUCAUCGUCCACACCACACUGGAGCAGACACGCCUCUGUACAGCUCUCACGCCCGCAGGAAAAGUUCAAGAUCAUACGACGAUGCUGUUGUUUUUGACCUCCAAGGACGCGUGCCGGCAUCCGGGUACGCAAGCAACCAAUACAACCACGACAUGGUGCAGUCGGCCUUCUCUGAUGAGCUUCCGCCCCUGCACCAACAGCAUCACCGCGCUGGCUGCUGCAACAUUGAGUUCAACAGCGGUGCAACGCUAUUGUUGCUUUGGAAAUGCUAUUGGAUCUUAUAAAGAUUUUUGGACCUAUUAUUCAUUUAACAUUGUUAGCUAGCUCACUCGUUGGAGUAGAUCUUCAAGCCGGAAAGAGCUAUGCUCCCCAAAUUUACUCAGAGAAGGGAGCUGGGUGUUGCUAAGAGAGAUGUUGUCAAAACUUGUGUUGCUACAAGCCUACCAAGGAACUCAGUGCGAGGUGGCAAGUUGGACACAAACUUAUGUUUUGCCGAAACUGUUGCCCCGAAACGAACCGCAUAAUUACUGCAGUCAUCAGUAGCAUAUUUACUCUAGCUGCAACCUAAUUCUCAUAUCCCAUUAAGCUCAUGUGCAUAAAUCAACUAGGUUGAAGAGUGUUAUCAAUUUCCUGAAGAAGACCAGUUGAGAUAUUAUAUGCAUGGUGUGGAUUGUUGAGUUUGCUUGGUUAUUGGAAUGCCAUGCCUGUGUAGAUCAGCGGGGGCUGAGUCCAGGGUGAGACCUUCAAGAUGGAUUUGUUGUUACCGUUAUUUCAGUUUGCGGGUAGAGGAUAUGAUUCCAGCAAGACCGAGACAACGAUGAUGAAAGGUGAGAUUUCUGUUAAGGAAUAUUAGCAAAUGUUCACAGGAUCACUGGAAGCAUAUAAAGGUAUCCACAAGGAUAGUUGCUUUCUUAUCGACUCAGAAUUAAAUUAUAGUUAUAGACAGUCAAGAGUAGUUGUCUUUUCAUUUGUUCGAAAACACAGUGUACCUUUUGUGAUCGUAGUUGUAUGCAAUGAUCCAUCAUGUAUUUUUUUCUAAACCACAACCCCUAAUUGUUUGAUGUCAUGAAAUGUCUAUGUUUUUU
This is a non-coding RNA of Triticum urartu, 2532 nucleotides long. The record is from RefSeq and is a predicted model, not a curated record. Lineage: Eukaryota; Viridiplantae; Streptophyta; Magnoliopsida; Poales; Poaceae.